CCUACGGGAGGCAGCAGUGGGGAAUCUUGCGCAAUGGGCGAAAGCCUGACGCAGCCAUGCCGCGUGAAUGAUGAAGGUCUUAGGAUUGUAAAAUUCUUUCACCGAGGACGAUAAUGACGGUACUCGGAGAAGAAGCCCCGGCUAACUUCGUGCCAGCAGCCGCGGUAAUACGAAGGGGGCUAGCGUUGCUCGGAAUUACUGGGCGUAAAGGGAGCGUAGGCGGAUAGUUUAGUCAGAGGUGAAAGCCCAGGGCUCAACCUUGGAAUUGCCUUUGAUACUGGCUAUCUUGAGUACGGAAGAGGUAUGUGGAACUCCGAGUGUAGAGGUGAAAUUCGUAGAUAUUCGGAAGAACACCAGUGGCGAAGGCGACAUACUGGUCCGUUACUGACGCUGAGGCUCGAAAGCGUGGGGAGCAAACAGGAUUAGAUACCCUGGUAGUCCACGCUGUAAACGAUGAGUGCUAGUUGUCGGCAUGCAUGCAUGUCGGUGACGCAGCUAACGCAUUAAGCACNCNCNGGAGACGUCGCAGAUAAACUACGAAGAAGUAGACGCGUGAGAGNGCGAGGACGACGACGAGGGAGGAGG
Molecule: ribosomal RNA, 585 nt
Filed under: uncultured bacterium
Lineage: Bacteria
Description: bacterial SSU rRNA
Rfam family: Bacterial small subunit ribosomal RNA
Source: RNAcentral